UUAUAGUGAUAUAAUGAUGAGAGCUAGGCUUGGUGCAUGGUAGUAUAACCCAUAUAGAGUAUUUUUGAGGACUCUAGUGAGGGGUUUCUAUCUCUGUAGUUACUGUAUGGUACCACAGCAGGUAUCACUCUCUGAGUGCAUACAGACAGGGCAUGCAUAGUCCAAGCUUAGUGUAUGAGAAAAGUUUCAAGUUUUACAGAAAAAGAAAAGAUUAGAAAAGAAAAGAAAGAAGAAAAAAAAAAGUAAAGUAACAGUUUUAAGCUUAAGUUUGAUCAUGUAUGGGAUUUAUUAGGUACACAGAGUUUACAGUAGGCUUACUACGGGUCCCGGCGGCCUUAAGCCGAUCUGGAUCCUAGUGCCGGUGGCGGUCCGGUAAGCGGGCUGUUACA
RNAcentral lists this long non-coding RNA (389 nucleotides) under Manihot esculenta (cassava). Its description in RNAcentral is "long non-coding RNA (MESC_LNC001120)". The record is from RNAcentral. Lineage: Eukaryota; Viridiplantae; Streptophyta; Magnoliopsida; Malpighiales; Euphorbiaceae.